GACCGUUGGGUAAUUAAGUCAGACGAUUUGCGCCCCCAAAUUGCACUAAGUUGUGAUUCUCUUUUGAGGUUGAAGAAAGCGAAAAUGACCAAAAGAAAAAGGGACUGUUUACAUUCCACCUCGUCGGCAAGGCAAAGUUGGGUUCCUUCUUUUUGCGAUGCCUUCCUUGACCUGAAUUCCUGAAGCGGUGAAGCCAACAACUGAAUUCAAAACCCUAGCUGGACAAACCAUAAUAGAAAUUCAGGAGAAGCCAUUUAGCAAAAAAUUGAAUAUAUAUAUAUAUAUAUAUAUCUUCACAUGGCGAACACUUGGAGAAGAAAGUUGGGGAAUAUGAGGUCUUUCAUUGGCAAUUCCAUGGGGGGUCUGAGGGGAGGAAGCAAUCUGGCCUCAUGGGUCUCUUUGCUGGAUCCCUUGCUAACUAUCUCUGGGUCAGGCCCUCCCAAGACCUCAAGCGCCAACAACAGGAAAGGGUAGCUCUGGCCGCAACUUCAGAUCCUGAUUUUUGAUCCUCAGCAAUCUGGUUGGAUACACGGAAACAAGAACGGGAGUGAUAAAUCCCAGGAAUUAUCUAACUGAAGUUGCAAAAUUUUGUGAGUUGGUUCUGUUGUGUCUCAAUAAGUGAUCAUAAGUUGUGUUUUAUGUUCAAGUCUUACCAAUAUAUAUAUGAGAGGUUACUUGAAUGUUGAGCCAUUUUCAUUUAGACAAUUCACGUGAACAUCAGAGUCCAACAUUUUUUGAGUUUCUUUCUAUUGAGGAUUGUACAAGACAUUUUUGAUGUAGUAAAUUCAAUAACAAAUAAUGGUUCAACACGGUUGAUGUACAAAAGGACCUGUCCACAUUGUGUGACGUCUCCAAGCUAUUCUUUACAUUGAUGGGUGCUGCAGCCCUCCAUCACUUGCUGCCUUGGUGAAACAAACCAGUCAUAGUUAAUCAACUUGGAUUAUUGUAUUCUUCAUAUUGUUUCAUUUAGAGCAACCCCGCGCGAGUAUAAAGUGAACAAUAUCAAUACUU
Molecule: long non-coding RNA, 1011 nt
Organism: Cornus florida
Lineage: Eukaryota; Viridiplantae; Streptophyta; Magnoliopsida; Cornales; Cornaceae
Exons: 3
Source: RefSeq, a predicted model, not a curated record